RNAcentral lists this ribosomal RNA (253 nucleotides) under uncultured bacterium. RNAcentral's name for it is "partial 16S ribosomal RNA". It matches the Rfam family "Bacterial small subunit ribosomal RNA", at positions 524 to 776 of the family's 1533-position model. The record is from RNAcentral.
UACGAAGGGGGCUAGCGUUGUUCGGAAUUACUGGGCGUAAAGCGCACGUAGGCGGAUACUUAAGUCAGGGGUGAAAUCCCGGGGCUCAACCCCGGAACUGCCUUUGAUACUGGGUAUCUCGAGUCCGGAAGAGGUGAGUGGAAUUCCGAGUGUAGAGGUGAAAUUCGUAGAUAUUCGGAGGAACACCAGUGGCGAAGGCGGCUCACUGGUCCGGUACUGACGCUGAGGUGCGAAAGCGUGGGGAGCGAACGGG